RNAcentral lists this ribosomal RNA (524 nucleotides) under uncultured bacterium. RNAcentral describes it as "partial 16S ribosomal RNA". It matches the Rfam family "Bacterial small subunit ribosomal RNA", at positions 28 to 523 of the family's 1533-position model. The record is from RNAcentral.
GACGAACGCUGGCGGCGUGCCUAAUACAUGCAAGUCGAACGCUUCUUUCCUCCCGAGUGCUUGCACUCGAUUGGAAAGAGGAGUGGCGGACGGGUGAGUAACACGUGGGUAACCUACCCAUCAGAGGGGGAUAACACUUGGAAACAGGUGCUAAUACCGCAUAACAGUUUAUGCCGCAUGGCAUAAGAGUGAAAGGCGCUUUCGGGUGUCGCUGAUGGAUGGACCCGCGGUGCAUUAGCUAGUUGGUGAGGUAACGGCUCACCAAGGCAACGAUGCAUGGCCGACCUGAGAGGGUGAUCGGCCACACUGGGACUGAGACACGGCCCAGACUCCUACGGGAGGCAGCAGUAGGGAAUCUUCGGCAAUGGACGAAAGUCUGACCGAGCAACGCCGCGUGAGUGAAGAAGGUUUUCGGAUCGUAAAACUCUGUUGUUAGAGAAGAACAAGGACGUUAGUAACUGGACGUCCCCUGACGGUAUCUAACUAGAAAGCCACGGCUAACUACGUGCCAGCCGCCGCCGUAA